GAUGAAGAACGCAGCGAAAUGCGAUAAGUAAUGUGAAUUGCAGAAUUCAGUGAAUCAUCGAAUCUUUGAACGCACAUUGCGCCCGCCAGUAUUCUGGCGGGCAUGCCUGUCCGAGCGUCAUUUCAACCCUCGAACCCCUCCGGGGGGUCGGCGUUGGGGAUCGGCCCUUUACGGGGCCGGCCCCGAAAUACAGUGGCGGUCUCGCCGCAGCCUCUCCUGCGCAGUAGUUUGCACACUCGCAUCGGGAGCGCGGCGCGUCCACAGCCGUUAAACACCCCAAACUUCUGAAAUGUUGACCUCGGAUCAGGUAGGACUACCCGCUGAACUUAAGCAUAUCAAUAAGCGGAGGA
This 350-nucleotide unclassified non-coding RNA is filed under the name soil metagenome. RNAcentral describes it as "partial contains 5.8S ribosomal RNA, internal transcribed spacer 2, and large subunit ribosomal RNA". The stretch from base 1 to 120 matches the Rfam family "5.8S ribosomal RNA", at positions 35 to 154 of the family's 154-position model. The record is from RNAcentral.